CCUACGGGGGGCAGCAGUGGGGAAUAUUGGACAAUGGGGGCAACCCUGAUCCAGCCAUGCCGCGUGUGUGAAGAAGGCCCUCGGGUUGUAAAGCACUUUCAGUGAGGAAGAACGCCUGGUGGUUAAUACCCAUCAGGAAAGACAUCACUCACAGAAGAAGCACCGGCUAACUCCGUGCCAGCAGCCGCGGUAAUACGGAGGGUGCGAGCGUUAAUCGGAAUUACUGGGCGUAAAGCGCGCGUAGGUGGCUUGAUAAGCCGGUUGUGAAAGCCCCGGGCUCAACCUGGGAACGGCAUCCGGAACUGUCAAGCUAGAGUGCAGGAGAGGAAUGUAGAAUUCCCGGUGUAGCGGUGAAAUGCGUAGAGAUCGGGAGGAAUACCAGUGGCGAAGGCGGCCUUCUGGACUGACACUGACACUGAGGUGCGAAAGCGUGGGUAGCAAACAGGAUUAGAUACCCUAGUAGGC
Molecule: ribosomal RNA, 465 nt
Filed under: Vreelandella stevensii
Lineage: Bacteria; Pseudomonadati; Pseudomonadota; Gammaproteobacteria; Oceanospirillales; Halomonadaceae
Description: partial 16S ribosomal RNA
Rfam family: Bacterial small subunit ribosomal RNA
Source: RNAcentral